RNAcentral lists this ribosomal RNA (253 nucleotides) under uncultured bacterium. RNAcentral describes it as "partial 16S ribosomal RNA". It matches the Rfam family "Bacterial small subunit ribosomal RNA", at positions 524 to 776 of the family's 1533-position model. The record is from RNAcentral.
UACAGAGGUCCCGAGCGUUGUUCGGAUUCACUGGGCGUAAAGGGUGCGUAGGUGGUGAGGUAAGUCGGAUGUGAAAUCUCCGGGCUCAACCCGGAAAUGGCAUUGGAAACUACCUUGCUGGAGGAUUUGAGGGGGGAUUGGAAUACUUGGUGUAGCAGUGAAAUGCGUAGAUAUCAAGUGGAACACCAGUGGCGAAGGCGAAUCCCUGGAAAAUACCUGACACUGAGGCACGAGAGCUAGGGGAGCAAACGGG